This 482-nucleotide ribosomal RNA is filed under the name uncultured bacterium. Its description in RNAcentral is "partial 16S ribosomal RNA". It matches the Rfam family "Bacterial small subunit ribosomal RNA", at positions 30 to 507 of the family's 1533-position model. The record is from RNAcentral.
AUUGAACGCUGGCGGCAUGCCUUACACAUGCAAGUCGAACGGUAACGGGCCUUCGGGUGCCGACGAGUGGCGAACGGGUGAGUAAUACAUCGGAACGUGCCCGAUCGUGGGGGAUAACGAGGCGAAAGCUUUGCUAAUACCGCAUACGAUCUACGGAUGAAAGCAGGGGACCGCAAGGCCUUGCGCGGACGGAGCGGCCGAUGGCAGAUUAGGUAGUUGGUGGGAUAAAAGCUUACCAAGCCGACGAUCUGUAGCUGGUCUGAGAGGAUGAUCAGCCACACUGGGACUGAGACACGGCCCAGACUCCUACGGGAGGCAGCAGUGGGGAAUUUUGGACAAUGGGCGCAAGCCUGAUCCAGCCAUGCCGAGUGCAGGAUGAAGGCCUUCGGGCUGUAAACUGCUUUUGUACGGAACGAAAAGCCUUCUUUUAAUACAGGAGGGUCAUGACGGUACCGUAAGAAUAAGCACCGGCUAACUACGUG